RNAcentral lists this ribosomal RNA (345 nucleotides) under Symbiodinium sp. Mp. Its description in RNAcentral is "partial Bacterial small subunit ribosomal RNA". It matches the Rfam family "Bacterial small subunit ribosomal RNA", at positions 1051 to 1395 of the family's 1533-position model. The record is from RNAcentral. Lineage: Eukaryota; Dinophyceae; Suessiales; Symbiodiniaceae.
GUCGUCAGCUCGUGCCGUGAGGUGUUGGGUUAAGUCCCGCAACGAGCGCAACCCCUGUGGUUAGUUACCAGCACGUAAUGGUGGGGACUCUAGCCAGACUGCCUACGCAAGUAGUGAGGAAGGUGGGGACGACGUCAAGUCAUCAUGGCCCUUACGUCCAGGGCUGCACACGUGCUACAAUGGAUGGUACAAUGGGUAGCCACCACGCGAGUGGGAGCAAAUCUAUAAAACCAUUCUCAGUUCGGAUCGGAGUCUGCAACUCGACUCCGUGAAGUUGGAAUCGCUAGUAAUCGCGUAUCAGCAACGACGCGGUGAAUACGUUCCCGGGCCUUGUACACACCGCCC